RNAcentral lists this unclassified non-coding RNA (335 nucleotides) under soil metagenome. RNAcentral's name for it is "partial contains 5.8S ribosomal RNA, internal transcribed spacer 2, and large subunit ribosomal RNA". The stretch from base 1 to 120 matches the Rfam family "5.8S ribosomal RNA", at positions 35 to 154 of the family's 154-position model. The record is from RNAcentral.
GAUGAAGAACGUAGCGAAAUGCGAUAAGUAAUGUGAAUUGCAGAAUUCAGUGAAUCAUCGAAUCUUUGAACGCACAUUGCGCCCGCCAGUAUUCUGGCGGGCAUGCCUGUUCGAGCGUCAUUUCAACCAUCAAGCCCCCGGCUUGUGUUGGGGACCUGCGGCUGCCGCAGGCCCUGAAACCAGUGGCGGGCUCGCUAGUCACUCCGAGCGUAGUAAUACAUCUCGCUCAGGGCGUGCUGCGGGUUCCGGCCGUUAAAAAAGCCUUAUUUACCCAAGGUUGACCUCGGAUCAGGUAGGAAGACCCGCUGAACUUAAGCAUAUCAAUAAGCGGAGGA